CACCAGCCCCUCGAGUGGUGGGGAUGAUUAUUUGGCCUAAAGCGUCCGUAGCCGGCCGGGUAAGUUUCCCGUUAAAUCCAGCGUCUCAAGCGUUGGACUGCGGGAAAUACUGCCUGGCUAAAGAGUGGGAGAGGUCAGCGGUAUUCUGGGGGUAGGGGCGAAAUCCUUUGAUCCCCGGAGGACCACCAGUGGCGAAGGCUGCUGACUAGAACACGUCUGACGGUCAGGGACGAAAGCUGGGGUAGCGAACCGGAUUAGAUACCCGGGUAGUCCCAGCCGUAAACGAUGCAUGCUAGGUGUUGGGUUGGCCACGAGCCACCCCAGUGCCGCAGGGAAGCCGUUAAGCAUGCCGCCUGGGAAGUACGAUCGCAAGAUUGAAACUUAAAGGAAUUGGCGGGGGAGCACCACCAGGCGUGAAGCCUGCGGUUU
Molecule: ribosomal RNA, 429 nt
Filed under: uncultured archaeon
Lineage: Archaea
Description: bacterial SSU rRNA
Rfam family: Archaeal small subunit ribosomal RNA
Source: RNAcentral